Molecule: non-coding RNA, 113 nt
Organism: Acanthosepion pharaonis
Lineage: Eukaryota; Metazoa; Mollusca; Cephalopoda; Sepiida; Sepiidae
Source: the annotation of a GenBank genome assembly
UACAGCCAUAUUACAUUGAAACACCGUUUCUCAUACAAUCACCCAAGUUAAGCAACAUCGAGCCUAGCCAGUACCUAGAUGGGGGACCACUUAGGAAGACCAGGUGCUGUAUG